This 253-nucleotide ribosomal RNA is filed under the name uncultured bacterium. Its description in RNAcentral is "partial 16S ribosomal RNA". It matches the Rfam family "Bacterial small subunit ribosomal RNA", at positions 524 to 776 of the family's 1533-position model. The record is from RNAcentral.
UACAGAGGUUGCAAGCGUUGUUCGGAUUUAUUGGGCGUAAAGGGUCCGUAGGCGGUUUGGAAAGUCGGGUGUGAAAUCCUACAGCUUAACUGUAGAACUGCAUUCGAAACUCCCAGACUAGAGUAUGAGAGGGGUUAAGGGAAUUCCCGGUGUAAGGGUGAAAUCUGCAGAGAUCGGGAGGAACACCAGUCGCGAAGGCGCUUAACUGGCUCAUUACUGACGCUCAGGGACGAAAGCUAGGGUAGCAAACGGG